Molecule: unclassified non-coding RNA, 6083 nt
Filed under: Mizuhopecten yessoensis (Yesso scallop)
Lineage: Eukaryota; Metazoa; Mollusca; Bivalvia; Pectinida; Pectinidae
Description: glycolipid transfer protein-like, transcript variant X1
Source: RNAcentral
AACAUAAAGCGAUUGUUUACUUCCGGUAACGUAGCAGGUACUUGCAUGCAAAGACAUUCCGAUUCCGGCACUGAGAAUGGCAAAUGCACGGACAUUUUUCGAUCGAGAGAAGUUUUACGACCCUGUGCCUGAAGAUGGGGCUAUUGAAUUAGACACAUUUCUUGGCAAAACCAGUCAGAUAACCGUGGUGUUCGAUCACUUUGGAAGGGUUUUUUCACCAGUCAAGUCUGAUAUGAACAGCAACAUCGAGAAAUUACGGAAGGUUAUUGCUGCGAAGAGAGAAAGUGGAGGAGAUUAUAAGACUAUUCAAGAGAUUAUUGAGGAUGAAAUGGCAAGAAAUACUUAUCAAAGCAAAAAUUCGGGCACCGUAGCUGGAAUUUGGUUGGGAAGAGGGCUGAAGUUCAUGUACUUAUUUUUUGAGCAACUGGUCUCGGCUCACAAAGGAGGAGAUAUGACUGAGAACAACGUAGCAUUUGUCAAUGAGGCAUAUGCUAAUUCUCUAAAACAGCACCAUAAUCUCAUUUCUAAAGGUAUAUUCAAGGUGGCUCUUCAUGCAGCACCAAACAGGAGUGACCUGUGUAGGAAGUUGAUGAAAACCCCCGGGGAUAUGGAGGCCAAAGAUAUCAAUAAAGAGGUACUAGAAGAGAUGGAGGUCUAUCUGGUUAACCUAAAGAACACAGUGGAUACCUGGAACAGUCAGUGUAUGGCUAUUACAAAGGACAAGUACAACAGCCUAUAGCCUAUUUCUAUACAAAUCAUGGUUGCUGAAGCCUUAGAUGAGUUUGUUGCGGGGAUGGACAUUUGAGGGCCACUGUCAUGGCCUAUAUGGAAGCUUUUGUAGAUAAAGAGGUCGUCAAUCUAUAGACAUAGAAUGAUUUAGGUGUGCUUGAACAUUCUAUAAUUAUGUCAGUCUGGACGUUAGUAUUCCUGAAAUCUCUUCGUAGUACCUGAAAUCUGUGCCAUUUAUAUGUGUGUUCUCAGUGUGAGUUGGUCAUGGUUACAUGGAAGUCAAGUGUCCACAAAGUGUUUGUGUGAAACUGCUGUAUAUGAAAAUCUGGCAUUUUAUAUAUGUUGUUAGUGUUAGUCAGCUGUGGUAAUAUAAAAAUCAGGUCUCCUUAGUUACCCCGUACAUGUCCCCCAUGUGACAGUUUGAGGGUUAACUUUGGCAGUUACAGUGAAGUACAUAUCUUCAAGAUGUCAUAAGCAUUCAGAAAAGUAUGGUCAUCAAAAUAACUUCGGGGGGAGAUGGAUAUGGCUGGUAAUGACCGAUGAUCAGCUCAUUGUCAGUUGUAGUGAGUUGUGGUCAGCUGAUUCCAACACAUGAGGCUUGAAUUCCAAUAAUGCAUACAUAGCCUGUUAACACAGCUACUAACAAAUAUCACAGCACAAUGCUCCUGACUGCCAGCUUCAGAAUUAAGUAACUGCCUGUUCAACUAUGGUAGGAAGGACACACGACAGUUAUUUGUGUGUUAAAGAAAGACAUCUCAUUCUGCCAAAAUGUUGUUAUGGUAAUGAUUUUGCCCUUUUUGAAUACACUAUAUACCGAUUAUAAAAUGCCAAGGUUUUCAUUAUUUUUUAAUUUGAAUCUAAUAAAUCUGUUACAAUCUGUUACGCAGCAGUAUUUUGUGCCUCUACUGUUAUUGGACACAGUUCCAGUCGUACAUAUCAUGUGAUAUUUGUCUUAUCAGCUGGUUGAACAUUGUACAAGAAUGUUUUAUUGUAACUGGUUCUGACAUAAUCAUUGUACAUCAGAUUUUUAUGGUUCAGAUCUUUAAUAGGGUGUGAAAGGCUUUUCAUGUGUGAAUGUUCUGGUAAAUACUAGAACACCACUUUCAAAUGGUAGUUAAACUAGAAAAUGUCUAAGACAUAAAUGCCCCCUGCCCAUGGAUGGGACAGGACGGGACGGGAAGGACAUGGGCAACACUAUAUGCCCCUCCAGGUUAUAAAAGUGGGGAAAUAUAUUCCAUGCUAAAAAUGGGCAUAUUGAUUGACUUAGCCUAGGGUUGUGGUAUUCCGCUUACUUGCUCAACUUGUUCUGUGUAGCUAUCUUGAAUAAUCCACAUGUAAGACUAAUAACCACUGGCCUUAAAUCUCUCCCUCUCUCUUUGGGAUCCACACGGAUGUUAACCACUAGCCAAUUUCUAACACAUCAACUUACCAAGUAUUGUAUAACUUCAGCAAUAACCUGAUGCAAAGUAUGAUGACAUUGUAAUCUGGAACAUGCUGUGUGCUGGUAGAACUCUGCCUUCUGGGACCAGUAAUGUAUUGUUACAGGCCUUCUGGGACCAAUUAUGUAUUGUUACAGGCCUUCUGGGACCAAUUAUGUAUUGUUACAGGCUUUCUGGGACCAAUUAUGUAUUGUUACAGGCCUUCUGGGACCAGUUAUGUAUUGUUACAGGCUCAAACAGGGCUUUUUCCAUAUUGUAAUGCUGAAAAGUGAGAAAAGUACUGUAUUUUGUCAGUAGGGCAAUUUAUAUAUACAUUUGGGGAAUUACUCCCACUCCCUCCCCAACCAUUUUCCCUUGGAGGGGGGGGGGGGUGGAAGGCGAUCGCUGUACAUAUGAAACACUUUCUGCAAUAAUUAGAAUAAUCUGUCUAGAUAUUAUUGAUGUGGAAAUGUUUAUGAACUGUGAUAAGAUUAGCUUGUUUCUAUAUUCAUUUUGUCAAAUAAUAUCAUUUUGCUAACAUUUUUUAAUAACUUUAAUAAUGAGGUAUAAAUUGAAAUUUUAUAGAAAUUAUAUUUCCUUUUAGUUAAAACCUAUUGAACUUUAUAUUUACCAUAAAAUUAAUUGAGUAAAACAAUGUGUUUUAAGAUGUAGAUUUUUUUAUGAAAUUCCUAAGUCAAAUUAUUAUUUCAAACAUGAACUGAAUCUGUAAACUUAUCAAUUUUAGAAUUAUGAAUGUAAAAGUUGUUAAUUCAAAUUAACUCAGUUGUUUUACUUAUCGUUAUAAGAGAUAUUUUUUCAUUAUAUUUAACAAUACGAUAUUCAAACCAUCAGCAUGUUUCUGUUCUGAUGAGAUAUAUAUAUAUAUUAUGUACAAGUUAUAAAAGUAAGGGUAAAAAAAUUGUAUCGCCAAACCAAAAUAUAUACCAGUCAGUCCAGAUUGUGAGAGUGAAUUGUAUUUAUGAUUAUAGUGUAACAGGAAAUGAUUGAUGUAAACCGCCUGUAAUAUUGUAACUGUAAGAAAACUGCAACAUCACAAAAGUAUGUAGAUACAUUGUAUAUGGUAACAAAUUGUCGCCUGGUGGUUGUGUGGAAUUUAGGUAAAACUAGUAACGAAUUGUCGCCUGGUGGUUGUGUGGGAUUUAGGUAAAACUAUCAGAAGUCACCAAUUAGUGUAUCCUGUUUUUACAAAUAACUACCCACAAACAUCCUCCAAUAUUUCAGGCUUUAAAUGAAAAUAUUUUUGAUAGCAUCUUCAUAUUUGAUGUAGGUAUUUCUCUGGUUCAUGUAUGUUCCAUCACGUACCUUGCACACAUAAAGUUUUCAGCGAUGUAAAGAAGCUACUGAUUUCUCUGUAGUCACUAAACAUAGGUGAACUUCAGAUUAAUUGAAAGUUGGAAGAAAUGUUAGCUGGUUAUCCAUGAUUGUAAAACAUGAGUUAAAUGAAUUGAGGAUGUAUUUAUACAUUUAAAAAUUUCUCUGGAAAAAAACAUUUGCUUUGGGUACGCUUUGGUAUAUACUGUAUAAUGCUUGUGGGAUGCCAGCACAUAUACAAGCUUGAAUCUAUUAAGUUGAAACCCAUUUCUCAUCUUCACAAUAUGUCAAAACCAAACCCUCUAUUAUUGUCAUCAUGAUUGUUUGAAUGUUUCUUUUAAAUCCCCUGCCCCCCAGAUGCGUUUUUAUGUAGCAGUAGUAUACGGUGCCCACCUGGUUAGAUUUUGUGUGGCUGCAGUAUUUUGAACAGUUCAGUCCCAAACAGACAUGGUUUUAUUAAGCUUUAUUACUGGUUACAAUUGCAGUGCAUGUAUUUAUGAAGUAAAUGUUGUAGUCUGUAACUCAGAUGUAUACACAAAUAUUUAUUAUUCAUAUAGUCAUGAAAAAAUAAUGUGCUAAUUGAAAGAUUUAAAUUACAUGAAUAAGCUGUAUGGUUAUGUCAGAACCUUGUUCAAAACGGGGAUAGGUUAUAGUUGAUAUAUUUUUUAAACAAAAUAUGUUACCUUUGUCUUAUAAGCCUAAAUGGCUUACAGAAUAAAAAGAAUUGAAUUGAAGUCUAUAAUGUUUGUACUGAUCAUGCAAUAAGUUCAGUCCCGUCACUUUUGUCAUUGUGUGCCUUGGACCAUCUGAAAUAUUAAUUAUUAACAAUCUACUUUGAUUGUUUGAAGACAGUGCACAAAGAUGUCUGAUGGCUAUCAUCAUUACCCUCGGAUAAAAUGUGUUUUUUUAAAACCAACAUUGUGGUUUUAAUGCUAGCUUUGUUAUCUUGGAAACAGCUGUGUUGUCGGAGGUGAAGCAGUCAUCUUUUGACCAGCUCAGUUGUUUAAGUAUACCUACCAGCUCCAUUGAUUGAGUAAUUCAGUUAUCUUAGGAUCAGCUCAGUUGUUUUAGGACCAGCUCAGUUUUCUGAGGAUCAGCUCAGCUGUUUUAUUAGAAGCACCUGUGUUGUUUUAGGUCUUGAUCAGUUGACUUAGGAUCAGCUAAGUUAAAUUAGGACCAGCUCAGCUGUCUUAGGAUCAGCUCAUUUGUUUUAAUAGAAGCAUCUGUGUUGUUUUAGGACUAGAUUAGUUGACUAAGGACCAAUUCAAUUAUCUCAGGACCAAUUUUUGAAGGACCAGAGUUUGGUUUUCUACAGACCAGAACGGCUUAUUGCCAGAGAUGUUUGUACAGCAACACGGCUGUUCUUAAACAAACCAACUUCGUUAACUGUUGUUAUAUCUUAUCAUCAGUGGAACCUUGGUACUUUGACUGUAUGACAUGAAUGCAUAAUAAUUAUAUAUAUACACUAUUACCUAUUCUGUAGAUUAAUGGUGAGAUUGUCAAAUGGUUGUGAACUUGUUUAAUAAACAAUGAAUUAUAUUUGAAGUAAAAUCAUUGGAUACAAUUGUUUGUACAUAUAAUCUUGUCAGUUGUAAAGGAAACCCAUUAAUAUCACAUUAUAUGUAUAACAUCUGGUGUGAUUAUCAACAUUACAUAAAGCUGAGUACAUGGUGUGUUAAAGAAAAUUAAAGAAUAGACAUCUGUUUGUUUCACUUCAGGUGGAAUUAGAAAAGCUGUAUUAUAUUUUUUGAAUUUUCUUUUUUUCGUCAAAGUAUCAUUUUUGUAAGAGAGAUAUCCUGGUUAACAUAUACUGGCCUAAUUAAACUACCAAUGAAGUGGAACUGGGCUGGGUCAAUUAAGUCAUUAGGCUGUGCACUUUUCCCUUUCCUGUUACAUUCGACACCAAAUAAAAUUUACCCAGAGAAGGUGGUAUAUAGAGUCUCAUCUGCCUAUAGGGGCCAACAACUUGUUAAAGGCAGGAAGAAUGUAGCAGAACUGGACUGGAUCAAUCGCUAAUGACCAGGUAACUCGGUUGGUUAGAGCAACCUCCAAGACUUUGGAGGUCUCGGGUUCAAAAACCGGUCUGGCCGUGCAUGUUUCCCUAUCACUGGUUCACCAGUAUUACAUGCCUUAUUGUCCUGCUGCUAUUACAGGCCUAUUAGUACUACUGCUAUAACAGGCUUAUUAGUACUACUGCUAUUACAGGCCUAUCAGUACUACUGCUAUUACAGGCCUAUUAGUACUACUGCUAUUACAGGCCUAUAAGUACUACUGUUAUAACAGGCCUAUUAGUACUACUGCUAUUACAUGCCUAUACGUACUACUCCUAUUACAGGCCUAUUAGUACUAUAGAUUUUCUGUCCUUUAGAGUGGUUUGAAUGUGAUUUUUCUAAUACGAUACAAAUAUUGGAUAACUGAUUUAUGUUUAGAAAUGUCGACAGUACAAAGCAUGUAGUGUGAUUAGGGAAUACUGUAUUUAUACACCUUAGCUACACAUAGAUUUAUUUAUUUUUAUCAAAACUGGUGACAGGUUCUUUACCAAAGAGAAAUAUCUUUGUUUUCACUAUGUGCGGUUUAAUAAAAUGAGUGGGUUUUAACAUGUUA